UUCAAGUGAAACCAUAAGUUUCCGCAUUCAACUUUGAUCGUCCGUCUUAUUUGAAAUUUUUUAUAAUUAAUAUUUUUGUUGUUAUGAGAUGAUAAAACAUGAAUAGUACUUUACUCGUGAUUUAUUUUUUUAUUUUUUUAAAACAAAUUUCAAACAAGACGGACGGUUAAAGUUAGACGUGGAAAACCAUGGCUACACAUAAA
Molecule: microRNA precursor, 203 nt
Filed under: Oryza nivara
Lineage: Eukaryota; Viridiplantae; Streptophyta; Magnoliopsida; Poales; Poaceae
Description: MIR812 microRNA precursor family
Rfam family: MIR812 microRNA precursor family
Source: Rfam by way of RNAcentral